CUUUGGUGUCUUGCCUUUUGAUAUGAUCUCUUGCUACCACACAUUUUUCUAUUGUUGUGAUGCUGUCCAUGAUGGGGGUCUUUGCCAGAGCUGAGCUGAUGCCAGUUCUAUGCCCUCGAACCUCCAGAACCAUCAGCUAAAUAAAACUCUUUUAUUUAUAGUUACCCAGACUAAGGUUCAUUACUAUUAUAGUAAUGAAAAAUGGACUAAUGCACCUCUCUCUUCUUGAAUUUAACUAAAAAUCUCCCCUAGUCUCACGACAACCAUACCAGUAAAAGACCUCACAGCAUCCAACCACAGUCAUAUUUAAUCAUAUUGCUAUAAGCCAACACAUAGAGCUUGCUCAGGAUUAUUAGUUCUUACUUUGUACAUAGUUCUAACAAAUUUGUUCAUCUGAUUUUCAAAGGUAAAGUAGAGGCUACAAAUUAUAAAGGGACAGAAUGCAUGCUAAGAAUAUUGACACCAUAGCAGUGCUACAGAUAAAUUAUAAAGGUCACAAAAGAAAAUAUUUUAAAAAUCACUAGUUUGUUAUAGCUUAGUUACCUCAUUGGGGCCUGAAAAGAAUACUAUGUAUGAUACUGCAUUCAUGCUCGUGAAGCCAGGUUAUCUGUGAACACAUUUGUGUGUUGAAUUCUGUUUAUGAUUAUAUAGAAAUACAUGCUAUGUUUUAGAAAAAUAUUCACUCACAAGAGGGUUAAAUUUAAGAAACAAAAAUUUAAACCAAGCAUUACCUAUUCCUUUAAAUAUUUACUUUCUGAAAAACUCAUGUCUAGAACAUCAUCUCCAACAACUCCAGAAUGCUAUAUUGUUCCAGAAUUGAUUAAUUUGAGGGAAAAGAACAGAGUAUAAAGUAAGAAAUUGCAUUAAUCUAAAUACUGUACUGUGCAAUCCGUCAAGAGGACUUGCACACAAAAGCAUUUGCUCUGAUGCUUCAUGGCAUUCCACUCCUUGUGUGCCACAAAAGAGCCUCACCUGUUUAGUCUGUUUCCCUAUGUGUUCCUUACUCUCUCCACUUGGCAAUAUUUGGAUUGGAAGUGCCACAAAGGAAUAUUUGAAAAGUUUUUUUUACAAAUAUAAGUUCAAUAAAAAUGUUUCUACAUGUUAAGUUUUGCAAAACAUUAACUUUGAGAGGAUUUGGUAGCUAAUUAAUCAAGCAUUUCUAGACCGUCUUUAUGCAGACUCAGGCAAAGAUGUUCUACGGAUGAAUGUGAAGAACCAAUUUCCUUCGGACUUCCAACACCCAUACCUGUCAGUAGUAGACCUAAGGAGCAAUUUGAUGUAACCCACUACAGUACAAGACAUAUUCUUUGACAAUUGUGCCUUGUGUCAGAUGUAUUAGGUUUUGGUAACACAAUGGUAUGACAAGAUAUGGUACCUGUCUUGCAGGAACAAAUGAGAUACAAUGGAACAAAUGUGCC
Molecule: long non-coding RNA, 1418 nt
Filed under: Marmota monax (woodchuck)
Lineage: Eukaryota; Metazoa; Chordata; Mammalia; Rodentia; Sciuridae
Source: RNAcentral